RNAcentral lists this ribosomal RNA (1698 nucleotides) under Rhipicephalus australis. RNAcentral describes it as "SSU rRNA". It matches the Rfam family "Eukaryotic small subunit ribosomal RNA". The record is from RNAcentral. Lineage: Eukaryota; Metazoa; Arthropoda; Arachnida; Ixodida; Ixodidae.
GAAACCGCGAAUGGCUCAUUAAAUCAGUUAUGGUUCCUUAGAUCGUUUCUUCCUACUUGGAUAACUGUGGCAAUUCUAGAGCUAAUACAUGCAGUGAGCCUGGAGCCCUUUGGGUAACGGGUGCUUUUAUUAGACCAAGAUCGAUCGGGUUUCGGCCCGUAUUGUGUGGUGACUCUGGAUAACUUUGUGCUGAUCGCAUGGCCACGAGCCGGCGACGUUUCUUUCAAGUGUCUGCCUUAUCAACUUUCGAUGGUAGGUUACUUGCUUACCAUGGUUGUUACGGGUAACGGAGAAUCAGGGUUCGAUUCCGGAGAGGGAGCCUGAGAAACGGCUACCACAUCCAAGGAAGGCAGCAGGCGCGCAAAUUACCCACUCCCGGCACGGGGAGGUAGUGACGAAAAAUAACAAUACGGGACUCUUUUGAGGCCCCGUAAUUGAAAUGAGUACACUCUAAAUCCUUUAACGAGGAUCAAUUGGAGGGCAAGUCUGGUGCCAGCAGCCGCGGUAAUUCCAGCUCCAAUAGCGUAUACUAAAGCUGCUGCGGUUAAAAAGCUCGUAGUUGGAUCUCAGUUCCAGACGAGUAGUGCAUCUACCCGAUGCGACGGCUCGGACUGAACAUCAUGCCGGUUCUUUCUUGGUGCACUUCAUUGUGUGCCUCGAGAUGGCCGGUGCUUUUACUUUGAAAAAAUUAGAGUGCUCAACGCAGGCGAGUCGCCUGAAUAAACUUGCAUGGAAUAAUAGAACAAGACCUCGUUUCUGUUCUGUUGGUUUUUGGAAUACGAGGUAAUGAUUAAGAGGGACGGACGGGGGCAUUCGUAUUGCGGCGCUAGAGGUGAAAUUCUUGGACCGUCGCAAGACGAACUACUGCGAAAGCAUUUGCCAAGAAUGUUUUCAUUGAUCAAGAACGAAAGUCAGAGGUUCGAAGGCGAUCAGAUACCGCCCUAGUUCUGACCAUAAACGAUGCCAACCAGCGAUCCGCCUGAGUUACUCAAAUGACUCGGCGGGCAGCUUCCGGGAAACCAAAGUAUUUGGGUUCCGGGGGAAGUAUGGUUGCAAAGCUGAAACUUAAAGGAAUUGACGGAAGGGCACCACCAGGAGUGGAGCCUGCGGCUUAAUUUGACUCAACACGGGAAAACUUACCCGGCCCGGACACUGGGAGGAUUGACAGAUUGAGAGCUCUUUCUUGAUUCGGUGGAUGGUGGUGCAUGGCCGUUCUUAGUUGGUGGAGCGAUUUGUCUGGUUAAUUCCGAUAACGAACGAGACUCUAGCCUAUUAAAUAGGUGCGGGGUUCCCAGCACCUUACAACCUUCUUAGAGGGACAAGCGGCUCCUAGCCGCACGAAACAGAGCAAUAACAGGUCUGUGAUGCCCUUAGAUGUCCGGGGCCGCACGCGCGCUACACUGAAGGAAGCAGCGUGUCUUUAUCCCUGUCUGAAAAGACUGGGUAACCCGUGGAACUUCUUUCGUGAUUGGGAUAGGGGCUUGCAAUUGUUCCCCUUGAACGAGGAAUUCCCAGUAAGCGCGAGUCAUAAGCUCGCGUUGAUUACGUCCCUGCCCUUUGUACACACCGCCCGUCGCUACUACCGAUUGAAUGAUUUAGUGAGGUCUUCGGACCGAUGUCCGGCGCGGCCUUUCGGUUGCGCCGGUCUGUUGGAAAGAUGACCAAACUUGAUCAUUUAGAGGAAGUAAAAGUCGUAAC